This 255-nucleotide ribosomal RNA is filed under the name uncultured bacterium. Its description in RNAcentral is "partial 16S ribosomal RNA". It matches the Rfam family "Bacterial small subunit ribosomal RNA", at positions 524 to 776 of the family's 1533-position model. The record is from RNAcentral.
UACAGAGGUCUCAAGCGUUUGUUCGGAUUCAUUGGGCGUAAAGGGUGCGUAGGCGGCGCGGUAAGUCGGGUGUGAAAUCUCGGAGCUUAACUCCGAAACUGCAUUCGAUACUGGCGUGCUUGAGGACUGGAGAGGAGACUGGAAUUCAUGGUGUAGCAGUGAAAUGCGUAGAGAUCAUGAGGAAGACCAGUGGCGAAGGCGGGUCUCUGGACAGUUCCUGACACUGAUGCGCGACAGCAUGGGGGAGCAAACAGG